RNAcentral lists this ribosomal RNA (573 nucleotides) under Triticum aestivum (bread wheat). Its description in RNAcentral is "partial small subunit ribosomal RNA". Lineage: Eukaryota; Viridiplantae; Streptophyta; Magnoliopsida; Poales; Poaceae. The record is from RNAcentral.
AUGGAGACCAUCCGGUGCUGCAUCGCGUGCAUCCUGCCGUGCGGCGCCCUGGACGUGGUGCGCAUCGUGCACUCCAACGGCCGGGUGGAGGAGAUCAGCGAGCCCGUCCUCGCCGGCGAGAUCAUGAAGGCCUACCCCAAGCACGUCCUCCGGAAGCCGCCCUCCACCUGCCCCUCCGACGGCGGCGGCGGCAUCGUCGUGCAGAAGCCCGUCAUCCUGCCGCCCAAUGCCGAGCUGCAGAAGGGCAAGAUCUACUUCCUCAUGCCGGUCAUGGCCCCGGCACCGGACAAGGCCGCCGCCAAGCCCAAGGCGCCCGCGCCCGCGCCAACUGCGGCCGCGCCAGCGGCGAGGAGGCGGCGGAGGAGGAAGGAGUCCGGGGAGGCCGCCGCCGGCAACAACGCUCCAGCGGCGUCCCUGCAGAGCGCGGAGGGCGAGAAGGAGCGGCUGCUGGCGAACGAGAGGUACCUGUCGGAGAUCAUGAAGGAGAAGGCGUCGACGGCCAGGGACCGGCGGCGCGGGCGCGUGGCCGUGUGGCGGCCGCACCUGGAGAGCAUCACCGAGGAUGACUUGUAA